CCAGACUCCUACGGGAGGCAGCAGUGGGGAAUAUUGCACAAUGGGGGAAACCCUGACGCAGCGACGCCGCGUGAGCGAUGAAGGACUUCGGGAUGUAAACCGCUAUCAGCAGGGAAGAAGCAGACGGUACCUGCAUAAGAAGCCCCGGCUAACUACGUGCCAGCAGCCGCGGUAAUACGUAGGGGGCAAGCGUUAUCCGGAUUUAUUGGGGGUAAAGGGCGCGUAGGCGGCGGCGCAAGCCAGAUGUGUAAGCCCGGGGCGCAACUCCGGGACUGCGUUCGGAACUGGGUGUCUGGAGUGUCGGAGAGGCAGGCGGAAUUCCUGGUGUAGCGGUGGAAUGCGUAGAUAUUAGGAGGAACACCGAUGGCGAAGGCGGACCGCUGGGC
Molecule: ribosomal RNA, 386 nt
Filed under: uncultured bacterium
Lineage: Bacteria
Description: bacterial SSU rRNA
Rfam family: Bacterial small subunit ribosomal RNA
Source: RNAcentral